RNAcentral lists this ribosomal RNA (576 nucleotides) under Trichoderma atroviride. RNAcentral's name for it is "eukaryotic LSU rRNA". The stretch from base 202 to 355 matches the Rfam family "5.8S ribosomal RNA". Lineage: Eukaryota; Fungi; Ascomycota; Sordariomycetes; Hypocreales; Hypocreaceae. The record is from RNAcentral.
UGCGGAGGGAUCAUUACCGAGUUUACAACUCCCAAACCCAAUGUGAACCAUACCAAACUGUUGCCUCGGCGGGGUCACGCCCCGGGUGCGUCGCAGCCCCGGAACCAGGCGCCCGCCGGAGGGACCAACCAAACUCUUUUCUGUAGUCCCCUCGCGGACGUUAUUUCUUACAGCUCUGAGCAAAAAUUCAAAAUGAAUCAAAACUUUCAACAACGGAUCUCUUGGUUCUGGCAUCGAUGAAGAACGCAGCGAAAUGCGAUAAGUAAUGUGAAUUGCAGAAUUCAGUGAAUCAUCGAAUCUUUGAACGCACAUUGCGCCCGCCAGUAUUCUGGCGGGCAUGCCUGUCCGAGCGUCAUUUCAACCCUCGAACCCCUCCGGGGGGUCGGCGUUGGGGACCUCGGGAGCCCCUAAGACGGGAUCCCGGCCCCGAAAUACAGUGGCGGUCUCGCCGCAGCCUCUCCUGCGCAGUAGUUUGCACAACUCGCACCGGGAGCGCGGCGCGUCCACGUCCGUAAAACACCCAACUUCUGAAAUGUUGACCUCGGAUCAGGUAGGAAUACCCGCUGAACUUAAGCA